RNAcentral lists this ribosomal RNA (182 nucleotides) under uncultured bacterium. RNAcentral describes it as "partial 16S ribosomal RNA". It matches the Rfam family "Bacterial small subunit ribosomal RNA", at positions 1319 to 1500 of the family's 1533-position model. The record is from RNAcentral.
CAUGAAGCUGGAAUCGCUAGUAAUCGCGAAUCAGAAUGUCGCGGUGAAUACGUUCCCGGGUCUUGUACACACCGCCCGUCACACCAUGGGAGUCGGAAAUGCCCGAAGUCAGUGACCUAACCGAAAGGGAGGAGCUGCCGAAGGUGGAGCCGGUAACUGGGGUGAAGUCGUAACAAGGUACC